Small nuclear RNA from Nematolebias whitei (Rio pearlfish), 141 nucleotides. RefSeq annotates it as U4 spliceosomal RNA. The record is from RefSeq and is a predicted model, not a curated record. NCBI's taxonomy places the organism in Eukaryota, Metazoa, Chordata, Actinopteri, Cyprinodontiformes, Rivulidae. The transcript has a single exon.
AUCUGUGCGCAGCGGCAGUAUCGUAGCCUGUGAGGUUGAUCUGAGGUAUGAUUAUUGCUAGUUGAAAACUUUACCCAAUACCCCGUCUUGAUGACUGUAAACACAGUCAGCAAUGGCAAUUUUUGACAGUCUUAACAAAGA